RNAcentral lists this ribosomal RNA (253 nucleotides) under uncultured Legionella sp. Its description in RNAcentral is "partial 16S ribosomal RNA". It matches the Rfam family "Bacterial small subunit ribosomal RNA", at positions 524 to 776 of the family's 1533-position model. The record is from RNAcentral. Lineage: Bacteria; Pseudomonadati; Pseudomonadota; Gammaproteobacteria; Legionellales; Legionellaceae.
UACGGAGGGUGCAAGCGUUAAUCGGAAUUACUGGGCGUAAAGGGUGCGUAGGUGGUCGUGUAAGUUGUCUGUGAAAUCCCCGGGCUCAACCUGGGCAGGUCAGAUAAUACUGCAUGACUCGAGUAUAAGAGAGGGUAGUGGAAUUUCCGGUGUAGCGGUGAAAUGCGUAGAGAUCGGAAGGAACACCAGUGGCGAAGGCGGCUACCUGGCUUAAUACUGACACUGAGGCACGAAAGCGUGGGGAGCAAACAGG